CGCGAAGCCUCUUAUUUUGAAGGGUGCGCGCCGGAACUCAGCAUUUUGACACGAAAAGUGACUUGGCGCGUCACACGUUGAAUUUAGAGAAACGACAGUACUGUCAAUCUAACGGCCAAAAAAAGAAAAACAAGAAGAAGAAGAAAAGAAGAAGGUCUGAGCUUGAGGAACACCAAGAUUUUUGGUGAGUCUCGACAAGGAUGUCUACACCUUAUCUGCAGUUCAUCAGGGGCACAUCACAGAAGCGGGUGAGGUGGUGGAUGAGGCCCAGAUGGUUGGCGAGGGGUUGACACGCAAACUCCGCCGACUGGAUGGAGCGACUGUUUGAUCCAGGGUCAGGUGCAUGCUGGAGCCUAUCCGAGCUAUCUUCGUGUGAGAGUCGGAGUCCACCCUGAACAGUUUGUUUUACUGUGGUCAUGUUAAGAGGGAAGCCAAACAUCAACGGCACGUUGCCUCGAAGCAUAAGCGAGAAGUACGUGCAAGACCUGAUCAAACACCUCCAGCCUAUUGGGGGGCACGCAAGUGAGGACCUGCCGCAAUCGGGGCAGCAGCAACUGCUGUUAAGGAUCGCACGUAAAGCCGUUCCCGGCCUUCGUUUCGGCACAACGCGGCGCCCCUCCUGCGGGCUGGCGGGCUUCGAAAGAAAUGCGCUCAGUCACUCCAGAAACAUUUUGGUGGACAAACCUAAUGAUCAAUCCUCCAGGUGGUCAUCUGAGAGCAACUAUCCUCCACAGUUUUUAGUCUUGAAACUGGAGAGGCCGGCGAUCGUUCAGAGCAUCACCUUCGGGAAAUAUGAGAAAACGCACGUCUGCAACCUGAAGAAGUUCAAGGUGUUCGGAGGCAUGAGCGAAGAAAACAUGACUGAGCUUCUGUCCAGUGGCCUUAAGAACGACUACAACAAGGAAACCUUCACCUUAAAGCACAAGAUCGACGAGCAGAUGUUUCCCUGCAAAUUUGUCAAAAUAGUGCCUCUGAUGUCGUGGGGUCCGAGUUUUAACUUCAGCAUCUGGUACAUUGAGCUUCAUGGUAUCGAGGAUCCGGAUGUAGUACAGCCCUGCCUUAACUGGUACAGCAAGUAUAGAGAACAGGAAGCCAUCCGCCUUUGCCUCAAACACUUCCGUCAGCACAACUACACAGAGGCCUUCGAGUCACUGCAGAAGAAGACGCGCAUAGCACUCGAGCACCCCAUGCUCACCCACCUGCACGACCGGCUGGUGCUGCAAGGCGACUUCGACGCCUGCGAGGACCUCAUCGACAAAGCCGUGAGAGACGGUUUGUUUAACCAGUAUAUCAGCCAGCAGGAGUACAAGCCCAGGUGGAGUCAGAUCAUCCCCAAGUGCAACAAAGGUGACGGUGAUGACAACAGGCCGGGAAUGAGGGGUGGACAUCAAAUGGUCAUUGACGUUCAGACUGAGACGGUGUACUUGUUUGGGGGCUGGGAUGGCACGCAGGACCUUGCUGACUUCUGGGCUUACAGCGUUCAGGAGAACCAGUGGGUCUGCAUCUCCAGGGACACUGAGAAAGAGAGCGGCCCGAGCGCUCGCUCCUGCCAUAAGAUGUGCAUCGACUCCCAGCGGCGUCAGAUCUACACGCUGGGCCGCUAUCUGGACUCCAGCGUCAGGAACAGCAAGUCCCUGAAGAGCGACUUCUACCGCUACGACAUCGAUGUCAACACGUGGACGCUCCUCAGUGAGGACACGGCGGCUGACGGGGGGCCCAAGCUGGUGUUCGACCAUCAGAUGUGCAUGGACUCGGAAAAGCAUAUGAUCUACACGUUUGGCGGCCGGAUACUGACCUGCAACGGCAGCGUGGAAGACAGCCGCACGUCAGAGCCGCAGUUCAGCGGCCUGUACGCUUACCACUGCCAAGCGGCCACGUGGAGCCUCCUGCGGGAAGACUCGUGCAACGCUGGCCCGGAGGACAUCCAGUCACGUAUCGGACACUGCAUGCUCUUUCACACCAGAAACCGCUGUCUUUAUGUGUUCGGGGGCCAGCGAUCCAAGACCUAUCUCAAUGACUUCUUCAGCUAUGAUGUGGAUGGAGACCACGUGGAGAUCAUAUCUGACGGCACCAAGAAGGAUUCGGGCAUGGUGCCAAUGACGGGCUUUACCCAGAGAGCCACCAUUGACCCCGAGCUCAACGAGAUUCACGUGCUGUCGGGCCUCAGCAAGGACAAAGACAAACGUGAGGAGAACGUCCGCAACUCCUUCUGGAUCUACGACAUCGCCCGCAACAACUGGUCCUGUGUGUACAAGAAUGACCAGGCGGUGAAGGAAAACCCGAGCAAGGUCCUGCAGGAGGAGGAGCCGUGUCCACGCUUUGCCCACCAGCUGGUCUACGACGAGAUGCACAAAGUGCAUUACUUAUUUGGCGGCAAUCCGGGGAAAUCUUGCUCUCCCAAAAUGCGUCUGGAUGACUUCUGGUCCCUGAAACUGUGUCGGCCCUCCAAGGAGUACCUGCUGCGCCACUGCAGAUAUCUCAUUAGGAAGUACAGGUUUGAAGAAAAAGCGCAAUCAGAGCCUUUGAGUGCGCUGAAAUACCUGCAGGAUGACCUGUCGCUCACCGUGGACCACACCGACCCCGAGGAAACCAAGAGGUACUUGAUUUCUCUUCUGUGUUUGUAUUUGGCUAUGGAAGUGGCAUUUUCAGUCUGCUCUUUUAAGAGAUGAUAAUUAUUGAUUUUGCACAAAAGUUCCAGCUCCUGCCCUCAGCUCUGUUCAAGUCCAGCAAUGACUUCAUCCCCCUGGGUUUCUCAGACGUGGACCAGACGUAUGCCCAGCGCACGCAACUCUUUGACACACUGGUCAACUUCUUCCCGGACAGUAUGACGCCACCAAAGGGCAACCUGGUAGACCUCAUCACUCUCUAGCCCCACCGUCCAUGCGCCACCUCGUGACACACUGCAAGGUCACCCGCUGGACUAAAAUGCAACGACACAGGAGGAAGAGGGGGGCGAGAGACACCAGGUACUUCCCGUUUCUAAGAUGUAGUCCCUCCCAUUUAAUGUCACAAUCUGCUGCUACCACCCUGAAGCUGAGACACGUCUAUCUGACACUGUAACACGAGAGUGGAAUAGUGAAUGUGUAACGACCAACUGCCAAGCUUUUAUUUUUUUUCCCAUCUCUCUCCACGCUUAUUUGGAUCCACACUCCUUACCAUUAACCAUGUUCAACUUGAGUAGGUUUUGAGUUAAAAUCCACUUUAAACUACAAUAAUCCUCAGUUGAGUACAGACACAUCGUGGUUUCUGUAAUCAGCAGCCUCUGCCUUGACUGUCAUGAGGCAGUAUUCUAUGGUAGCGCAGAAUAUAGUUAUGCUCAUAAAUUUACAUACUCUGUCAGAAUUUGUAUAUCUACAUCAUCCUUUCAAGAAAACAUGAAUGAUGACAGGACAAAUUUUCUCCCAAUAUUUUACUAAUUCUGCAAGGGUAAGAUCACUUGUGAGAAAUUGAGAAAUAUUGAGAAACCCAAUUCUGUGUAAAAUCAGUGGGCCACUGGCAGGACCGCACCAAGUCCAUUCCUCAUCUAUCAGGGAAAGAUGGCAGUGAAGGGACUUUCUAAGGUACCACAUGAAAAUAUAUUCAGUCAAACCAUUCACAAGUCAACAUACAUCCUGAGCCAAACUCAACAUAUAUCCUGCUGUACUUUGAAAAUGACGUCAGAUAGCUGGACUGGGCCAUGUUUUGAUUCUGGGGAAAGGAAACGCUCCCAUGACAAACCCGGUGGGAAAAAAAAAAAGACACCUCUGAGGAAAAACAAAAACAUAGAUAACGCUUUAUGUCAGUUUGAGAUUUAGGAUUAAGAUUCAUUCAUCGGGAUGUUUAAGUUUAAGAAAUAUACCCCAACUAAUUAGUUUCGAAUGAUCUUGAAUCGGAUUAACAUUGGAAACUGUCAUUUAAUUUAAAAACUUAAAAAAUAGAAAAUAUUUCCUCAAACCUGGGCAAGCCUUUGUUUGUGGAAAUGCAAGUUUGGACCUUUAGUAAAUAUAGUUACCCCUGUAGUAAAAAUGCAUUCUAUUUAAAUUCAUCCACAUCUUUCAAAAUGGUCUCAGCAUUGUUUUUUGUUUUUUUUUCCCCCCACAAUGAGCGAAUGGGAAGCAUUUAUAUUUCUCAAUGAUGACUCAAAUAAUUGGAGUGUGGCGUCGCUUAGAAGUCUGGCCACCAUUUAAGGAAAUACAGUAACACGUACACUAACCCCAUUUUUACUCUUCCUUAACAACAUAGUCACGCUCAUAAAAGUUCUGCAUUGUGUUUGUGUGCACGUGUGUGAGCAUUCAGCCACACUGCCUCAGUUUCCCCCCCGUGUUCACGUCGCCACACAAUUAAUGAUUCAGUUCGAGCAUUUGUUCAGCGAAGGUGGUGAAUGGUGGGUUGUACUUAAUUUUGGAACCAGAAAAAAAAAUAUGGAGGCAUUUUCACCACGUUUUUUAAUCAACUAUGCCCAUUUUUCUGUCAUUCAUGCACAGUCUCUUUAGUAUAAUAAACGGUCCAAUCAAAAUUUGGAAGAAAAAAAUAGUACAUACAUUAAAGGUUUGGCUGUCAUAUGCGCCCUAAAUCCCAUUAUUAUGAUAAUUUAUAGUGUUAAGGUAAGUUAAGAUCCAUGUCUUUUGGUUAUGUAUUUAAAAUUAACCCCUUAACUGAAUUGUGCAGUGCAAAUAAAAGCUUUGUAGCAAUAGGGGGAAAAAACUGUUUAUUUUUCAACUUUUUUUUUUUUUUCUUGAUUAAAAACCCUUGAAUAUAAUUGUUUGGUGCUUUUGGGUUGCACUUGAGUUCAGAAGAUGCGCAUUGUGGUUUGGAGUUGAUCGCGUGUGUGCCCCGCAUCAUGGAAGUGAACUAUUCCAUUGUAAAAAGGAAUAUUUGGGCUGCGCUGAAAAGGAGGAAAUCAUGGAGGAUCGAAGUCAGAUAUUUUCAGUCAUAUUGUUAGGAGGGAAAAAAAUGUAAAAACUGUUGUAACCCGCUUUUCAUAAGAAAACAUUUUUCAUAAAACUGACUUUACUGUCAUGAAACUUAAACCUUUUUUUGACUUUUUUUCCCACCACACAAAAAACUCAAUUGAGAAUUGCCGUUAAAAAUGUAAUUCUUAUCCAGGCAAUUUGGAAUUCUGUGACUUAAUGUCAUCGUGUAUUUCAGUGUGGCCCAUAAUCCUUUUUUAGAAAUGGGACUGAAGCCAACAGAACAGCUUUCUGGACGUGGUCAUAAUUCCAAAAAAUGAGAGGCGCUGAUUCCACUGUGUACUUCUUUUACAUUUAUUUACACUGGUCAUAUUUUGUGUUGCAACAGGGUGUGUAUGUUGCUGUGUGUCUGAGAAGAGGGGAAAAAACUUGUCAAAAGAAUUAUUAUAAAAAAAUUCAAAAAGCACCUUUUUUUCCAAAAACAAUGCCAAAUAUUACAGUUUCAUUUUCUCCGCUCAAGCCCCGAGUGUGGUCCUGUCCCAUCCCUGAGCACUUCUCUGUGGAAUGUGUAGAAAGCCUUGUAGUAUUGCAUUGUACCUAAUGUAAAUAAUGAAUAAAGAUUGUAUUUUGUUCAGG
This is an RNA transcript of Syngnathoides biaculeatus (alligator pipefish), 5525 nucleotides long. It is a transcript of the gene named muskelin 1, intracellular mediator containing kelch motifs, with no coding region annotated. The transcript is spliced from 23 exons. Lineage: Eukaryota; Metazoa; Chordata; Actinopteri; Syngnathiformes; Syngnathidae. The record is from RefSeq and is a predicted model, not a curated record.